RNAcentral lists this long non-coding RNA (425 nucleotides) under Homo sapiens (human). RNAcentral's name for it is "HSALNT0200504". Lineage: Eukaryota; Metazoa; Chordata; Mammalia; Primates; Hominidae. The record is from RNAcentral.
UUGAUAACUGAAGUGAUUACAGUGCCAGGUGGGUGAGCAACCAGCUGUGAACUGCGAGGAGAAAAGGUCACCACAGGUGCAGUAGCACUGAAGGAUGGAGAGGAAGCCACACUGACGGUUCCAUUGCAAAUGGUCUGAACAUUGCUAGUAAGGACCUGCUGAACCUGGGCAGGGCCCAAGACAAUUGAAGGAGGAGAGCCCGCCUUUUGUGACUGCAGCAUGACAUUUUCUUUCAGUACUGUCAUGGGCUGUGAUGAUGGAAUGGCUUGUAAAAUAAACUUCUGAGAUCCAGUACCUGCUGAUGGAUCUGUGCUGGCUAUAACUGUUGUGAGUGGCACUGUUUGGAGUGUUACUGUAUGCAACUGCUGAUUCCUAGGAGACACAACCACUGGAACUUGGGUUGGAGCCUGUAUAGUCCUAUUGAG